Non-coding RNA from Arachis ipaensis, 1653 nucleotides. NCBI's taxonomy places the organism in Eukaryota, Viridiplantae, Streptophyta, Magnoliopsida, Fabales, Fabaceae. The record is from RefSeq and is a predicted model, not a curated record.
CUCUCUCCACCACUCAUCUAUAUCACACCAUCAGCAUCAUCAUCACAUUAUUCUCUUUCCAAUUCUCACUCCACCUCACCAAACCGUCAUCAUGGACACAAAGAUUGGAUUCGUGGACUCACACAAACUCAGCUCCCAAGCAACGACAUCAUCUCCUGCGCCAACAACAACUCUACUACCGUCUCAGCCACCACUGUCGCCUCAUCGAAAGCCAUACUCGGCCGCCAGCUAGGGUGGCAAGAGUACCCAAAUCUACGGGUACACGACCCAUCCCGUCCCUACCUGGUCGGGACGGGUUUAAACCCGACCCGAGACGGGGCGGGGUCGGGGUCUCUCGGGGCGGGUUUUGAACGGGGCGAGGUCGGGGUCAGGGUAAACCCGCCCCUACCCGUCCCAGAGUACAAAAUAUAUAUAUGUUUUUAAAGAUUAGGACUUUUAAGUGUCUUCACCAACCAUCAGACCCCAAUUCCUAAGUCAUAUUCUUCCUCAUAGAACCAAAGCUCUUUACUGCUCAGCUCAGCCUCUCAUCCCCUCCCCACCGUUGCGCCGUCGCUACAGUUUCUUGCCGUCACCACAGCUCCUUGCCAUCGUCGCAACUCCUUAGCGUCACUGCUCACCUCCCGUCUAUCAUUGCUGCUCAGUCGCGCAACUCCUCGCCAUCGUUGCUCAGCUCGCACAGCUCCAUUCAUUGUUUGGUCGCCAUCGCUGUGAGCUUGACCAUCACUGUUUCUUGUGAGCCUGUCAUCAGAGUCCUUUUUCUAUGUCUCUAACUGCCGAUAAGUCUCUGAACCCCUCUGUCUUUGCAAAUUUGUCAUCCCACAAGCAUGCUUUACCAUCUCUGCGAAAAAUGCAGGAAGCUUACUUUGGAAUACUAUAAAAGAAACUGAACUAAAAAUUUUGACAAAUAAUGAACAACCACCUAUAACAAGAAAAAAUAUGAUCUAUCAAUUAUUAUUCGAAUAAUAUGCUUACAUAUUUAUCAUGUGAACACAAUUGAAUUAAGUGUAUAUAUGGUAUUUCAUAAUUUUGCUGUGAAACUAGUCUUAUGGUGAAGAUGAUAUUUAAUUAAUUAUUCUUGUGUUCAUACCAAUAUCAAUUUAAUUUGGCUACCAUUAAGAGUGCUUCUGUUGAAUUCCUCAUGUCUAUUGCACCUUCUAUGUUGAUACACAUUGUUAAUUGCUUUCGUAGGAUACACAAUAUUGAUUAAUUUAAGGAUAUGUGAUUGGUUGAAUUAUUAUUCUUUGCAUAAUCUGAUUUGUUGAUUUGAUGUGCCAAGUGCAAACUAUAGGGAUGAGCUCUACAAGGAGUUUCUUAAAGCCUUACGAGGUGGGUUAGUAUUAGUUGAGAAAGAUUUUAAAGCCAUUAAAGAAGCAUUAGAGGAAGCAUUUGCCAAAGCUGACACCAAGUUGUUGAAAUGGUAAAGCAAUAAACUAGUCUACAAAGCUUGAAAUGAAUAAAGAGGAGGACGAAUCAGGCGCAACAGCAACUGCAAUCUUCAUAGGGGAUGAUACACUGCUCGUUUUGCACAUUGGUGACUCAUCUAUGGUUUGAAUCUUGUCCUUCAAACCUUUAAUGAUGAUAAAGAUGUGAAAAGUAAUCAAGAAUAAGUAUUGAAGAAUCUUAUAUUUAAUGAUGCAAUUUUUUAUUUAUGGC